This 380-nucleotide unclassified non-coding RNA is filed under the name uncultured Actinomycetes bacterium. RNAcentral's name for it is "uncultured actinobacterium contains 16S-23S intergenic spacer region". Lineage: Bacteria; Bacillati; Actinomycetota; Actinomycetes. The record is from RNAcentral.
UCCGGUUUGGCACCGGCAGUCUCCGAUGAGUCCCCGGCAUUACCCGCUGGCAACAUCGGACAGGGGUUGCGCUCGUUGUGCCACUUAAGGCAACAUCUCACGACACGAGCUGACGACAGCCAUGCAGCACCUGUCUUGGGACUCCGAAGAGGGGCCGUGGUUUCUCACGGCUUUCCCCAAGAUGUCAAGCCCAGGUAAGGUUCUUCGCGUUGCAUCGAAUUAAAGAACAUGCUCCGCUGCUUGUGCGGGCCCCCGUCAAUUCUUUUGAGUUUUAGCCUUGCGGCCGUACUCCCCAGGCGGAACACUUAUCGCGUUAGCUGCGGCACAGAGGGAUUCGACUCCCCCCACACCUAGUGUUCAUCGUUUACGGCUAGGACUAC